UUUCCGUAGGUGAACCUGCGGAAGGAUCAUUCAUAUUAAACGUUUUACUGCACUUUUCAACCAUAGUACUCACCUUGUCUGCAAUGUUUUGUUUCUUUUCAGAGCAACACAUACACCAAAAAAUAACUUAGAACCACUUCGUCUAUAAAACUAUCAUGAACACAUACUUCAAAAUACAACUUCCAACAACGGCUCACUUGUCUCUCGCAUCAACGAAGAACGCAGCAGAACGGCAGAGCACACGACUGCACAACUGCCACGCCUAGUCACCUCGUAUGC
Molecule: unclassified non-coding RNA, 279 nt
Filed under: plant metagenome
Description: partial contains small subunit ribosomal RNA, internal transcribed spacer 1, and 5.8S ribosomal RNA
Source: RNAcentral